AUGCAACCUCUUUCUCCAGCUCCCACACGCCCGGUGUUAUGUAAACGCACCUUCAGCCCCCACCACAGCCCCAGCGCGGCCCGGCCCCGGGGCCUGGCACAGCUCGGUGCCCAGAGAAGGGAGGCACGAGGAGGCAGAGGGGCCUCUGGCCUUGCAGAGACCCGGGAAGGGAAAGGCAACUGCAAGGCAGUUGCACAGCAUAAAAUGCAGCAGCAGAGCAAAGGUCAGACGGCAGGGAACCGCCUCGCCAAAGAGAGGGAGCAGAAAUGCCCAGUCCCGGGUCAUCUCCGUGCUGACCAUCGAGGAGGCGGCAGAAAGGAAAACUUCCAGUGAAAGAAGACACUGAUGAUCAAAUGACACACGAGAGCAGUUGCAGAUUUUUGCCAAUGGGGGCCUGCAUGAAUUCAAGGUAUCACCUGUUUACUUUAUAUCCUGAAUUAACUUUCUACCUUCCCAGUCCAGAGUUUUAAUAAAAGGUUUCACUUGGGCUAGAGAGCAAAUGUGUUUGUGAAUCUCAUCCAAAAUCCCACAGCUUUUUCUCUAAAGACCUGUAAGUUCCUAAGACACUCUAAAAGGAGUAUAAAAAUAAUAAUUGUAAUUCUUGAGGGCUGCCAAUGGUAUACCGGGUUCCAGAGAGUCAUAACCUGUUUAACGCUUACGUGAAGCUUUCCAUCUCUGUGUUACCAGGACGUGGCUAACAUUACACACUGGCAAAUGGCAUUAAUCUGUCAUAGAAAUGGGG
Molecule: long non-coding RNA, 742 nt
Filed under: Ailuropoda melanoleuca (giant panda)
Lineage: Eukaryota; Metazoa; Chordata; Mammalia; Carnivora; Ursidae
Description: lncRNA (ENSAMEG00000027808.1)
Source: RNAcentral